RNAcentral lists this long non-coding RNA (576 nucleotides) under Ricinus communis (castor bean). RNAcentral's name for it is "long non-coding RNA (RCOM_LNC001787)". Lineage: Eukaryota; Viridiplantae; Streptophyta; Magnoliopsida; Malpighiales; Euphorbiaceae. The record is from RNAcentral.
UUUUCUUGCAAUGUAUUUGAAUUGCUGAGUUUGCAAAAAGCUGUACUAGAACACGAGAUUUGAGCAACUCAGCCAUGGAUUAAUCUGAUUCUAGUCCUUUGCCUUUCUUGCAGGUCAUGUAGAAAUUGGUAAUGGUUAUGGUGUACCAGGUGGAGGUGCAUAUUAUGGUUCUUUGAGGCCUGAGCUUGAUAGAGAGUCAGAAAAGAAGCCUGCUACUAGAGAACUUCCUGCGUACCUGAGCAGAAGUGAGNNNGUACCUUGAGCAGAAGUUGAGAGCAAGGGGUAUUCUUGAUAAUGACACAGAAAAAGGCUGUCUGUCAAAUGAUGAAAAUGCAAGUUUGUUCUGAUCAUAGUUUCUUCAUAUUCAUAACUCCCCCUUUACUUUCUUUCAGUUUGUAGGCAGCCUUGGACGAUUAAGCCUGGGGCUGGGGAUUUCCAUUUUAGAUGUCUAUUACAAGUCUCUGAUCUCAUUUUCUUGGUUGCUUUAAUCAUAAGAGAAGUUUCAUUAUGCACUUCUAGUUCUAAGUUUUCUGAUGUUAACUUCUUAUGCUAUUAUUCUUCUUUUUUAAAUUUCUU